Molecule: transfer RNA, 87 nt
Filed under: Magnetococcales bacterium
Lineage: Bacteria; Pseudomonadati; Pseudomonadota; Magnetococcia; Magnetococcales
Description: tRNA-Leu
Rfam family: tRNA
About the family: Transfer RNA (tRNA) molecules are approximately 80 nucleotides in length. Their secondary structure includes four short double-helical elements and three loops (D, anti-codon, and T loops).
Source: RNAcentral
GCCGGGGUGGCGGAACUGGUAGACGCACCAGACUCAAAAUCUGGCGCUGGCAACAGCGUGUCGGUUCGAUUCCGACCCUCGGCACCA